CCACACACCACACACCAAUUUCACCAAUCAAUUGAAAAAGAAAUUGACACUACGUAAGAACUAAGAAUCAAUCAAAGGGAGACAAUCUUUUGGAAGGGAAAACAAAACAAAAAAGAAGUAAGAGGAGUGAAAGUUUGGGUACCCAUGGAGAAGGAAGAGUAGUUUGGCGCAGGGAACAAAGAUGUUCUCGAAAAUAAGAAAACGAAAAGAUAGAACAAUCAAG
This 223-nucleotide long non-coding RNA is filed under the name Cicer arietinum (chickpea). RNAcentral describes it as "long non-coding RNA (CARI_LNC003420)". Lineage: Eukaryota; Viridiplantae; Streptophyta; Magnoliopsida; Fabales; Fabaceae. The record is from RNAcentral.